UCCACAUCGACAGGUUGUGGGCGCUUGGU
This 29-nucleotide small RNA is filed under the name Bombyx mori (domestic silkworm). Its description in RNAcentral is "ovarian small RNA-26635". The record is from RNAcentral. Lineage: Eukaryota; Metazoa; Arthropoda; Insecta; Lepidoptera; Bombycidae.